Long non-coding RNA from Solanum pennellii, 392 nucleotides. RefSeq lists it as uncharacterized. The transcript has 3 exons. NCBI's taxonomy places the organism in Eukaryota, Viridiplantae, Streptophyta, Magnoliopsida, Solanales, Solanaceae. The record is from RefSeq and is a predicted model, not a curated record.
CCUAUCACUAUACCUUGGUCUCUUCGCUUAAGCCAUGGCCGCAACAAAGCCUUUAUAUGAUUUUUAUUUUGUUCACUCCCACUUUAUGCUUACAAAUAUCAUAUAAAGUUUGGAUCUAAAAAUUUCUGCUAAUAAGUUUCAGAUCUGAUAUCAUAUAAAGGCUCCAAGCUAGAGAUUUAAUUGAACAAGUAUCAGGAAUAUCGUCCUAAAAAGGUUAAUGUUUUUGUAUCUAGCUCUUUCUUUUAAAAAAUUAUUCAUUGAUCUUUCUUUAAAAUUAUCUCUCUUUAUUAAAUUAUGGAUUUAAGAACACUAUUAAAGAAGAAUGAUUCAUAUUUAUAUGUGUCGGAUCAAAAUUUUACACUUUAACAAUUAAAUCAUAUAACAAAAUAAAC